UACGUAUGGUGCAAGCGUUAUCCGGAUUUACUGGGCGUAAAGGGAGCGCAGGCGGCGCGCCGAGUCUGAUGUGAAACCCCGGGGCUCAACCCCGGGCAUGCAUUGGAAACUGGCGGGCUGGAGUGCCGGAGAGGUAAGCGGAAUUCCUAGUGUAGCGGUGAAAUGCGUAGAUAUUAGGAGGAACACCAGUGGCGAAGGCGGCUUACUGGACGGCAACUGACGCUGAGGCUCGAGAGCGUGGGGAGCAAACAGG
This 253-nucleotide ribosomal RNA is filed under the name uncultured bacterium. Its description in RNAcentral is "partial 16S ribosomal RNA". It matches the Rfam family "Bacterial small subunit ribosomal RNA", at positions 524 to 776 of the family's 1533-position model. The record is from RNAcentral.